UGGGGAAUUUUGGACAAUGGGCGCAAGCCUGAUCCAGCAAUGCCGCGUGCAGGAUGAAGGCCUUCGGGUUGUAAACUGCUUUUGUACGGAACGAAACGGUUCUCUUUAAUAAAGGGGGCUAAUGACGGUACCGUAAGAAUAAGCACCGGCUAACUACGUGCCAGCAGCCGCGGUAAUACGUAGGGUGCGAGCGUUAAUCGGAAUUACUGGGCGUAAAGCGUGCGCAGGCGGUUUUGUAAGACAGAUGUGAAAUCCCCGGGCUCAACCUGGGACCUGCAUUUGUGACUGCAAGGCUAGAGUACGGUAGAGGGGGAUGGAAUUCCGCGUGUAGCAGUGAAAUGCGUAGAUAUGCGGAGGAACACCGAUGGCGAAGGCAAUCCCCUGGACCUGUACUGACGCUCAUGCACGAAAGCGUGGGGAGCAAACA
This 427-nucleotide ribosomal RNA is filed under the name uncultured prokaryote. RNAcentral describes it as "bacterial SSU rRNA". It matches the Rfam family "Bacterial small subunit ribosomal RNA", at positions 355 to 774 of the family's 1533-position model. The record is from RNAcentral.